UAUGCUAUGUUGUAUUAUAAUUCUAUUGCUAUGUUUGAUUUUUAUAAAACUGGACUCAUAAAUUAUGUUUUAUGUUGAAUUGGUAAUUUUAUUUUGAUUGAUAAUAUGCAUAAAAUUAUUUUAAUUAUUUAUUUUUUUGAGUAUUGGAUAGGCAUGAGAUGGGUAUGGAUUGGAUAUGGAGAAAUGGGUUACCCAUGAAU
This 200-nucleotide long non-coding RNA is filed under the name Elaeis guineensis (African oil palm). Its description in RNAcentral is "long non-coding RNA (EGUI_LNC030049)". Lineage: Eukaryota; Viridiplantae; Streptophyta; Magnoliopsida; Arecales; Arecaceae. The record is from RNAcentral.